This 428-nucleotide unclassified non-coding RNA is filed under the name fungal sp. RNAcentral describes it as "partial internal transcribed spacer region". The stretch from base 1 to 46 matches the Rfam family "Eukaryotic small subunit ribosomal RNA", at positions 1786 to 1831 of the family's 1831-position model. Lineage: Eukaryota; Fungi. The record is from RNAcentral.
AAGUCGUAACAAGGUUUCCGUAGGUGAACCUGCGGAAGGAUCAUUAUCAUCCUUAUUUUAUUUUAUUUUUGUAUUCACUUACAAAAUAAAAUAAAAACAAUAAACCAAUCGUGAACCGUUUUGCCUCCAAUGAAAAUUGAAAAUUAGUAUUUUCAAAAUAAUACUUUUUCUCAUUUUGAGUGAGUGCACUUUAACUGUUUGAUACAUAAAAACCAAUUUUUGUUGUUUUCAUUGUUUUUUUGUAUUUAUGUUAUUGUGCCAUGAUUUCACCGUCACGCUCUGUUUCAUUGGUUGUAUUUUUUUUUUCAAAAACAAAUUAUUUACCUUUUAAACAAAUUCAUUCAUAUUUUUAUGAACUGAAAAAAAGAGUUAAAAAAUAAUAAUGUAAAAUUAUAAAACAACUCUUAGCAACGGAUAUCUUGGUUCUC